Molecule: small nuclear RNA, 107 nt
Filed under: Propithecus coquereli (Coquerel's sifaka)
Lineage: Eukaryota; Metazoa; Chordata; Mammalia; Primates; Indriidae
Source: RNAcentral
AUGCUCACUUUGGCAGCAUGUAUACUAAAAUUGGAACAAUACAGAGAAAAUUUGCAUGGCCCAUGAGCAAGGAUGAUAUGUAAAUUCAUGAAAUGUUCUAUACUUUU